Molecule: non-coding RNA, 233 nt
Organism: Cinara cedri
Lineage: Eukaryota; Metazoa; Arthropoda; Insecta; Hemiptera; Aphididae
Source: the annotation of a GenBank genome assembly
ACGUGGUACAUUGGUACACUGUUUAAAGUGCGUUUUAUCAGUAUAAUAACGAGUGUAUUAUAACUGUUAAUAAACACCGCGGAAUAACUGCAGUGUCCCGCAUUUUUUCGUCGUUCCAAAUGAUUAUAUUCUUUCUGCGCGAUUAUUCCGUUGUAUAAUAAAUCUGCGGACUGUAAGCCCGUUAUUUUAUAAAGUCUCUUAUUUAUUCGAAUUGAAUAUUUUAAAGUUGAAUU